This 115-nucleotide non-coding RNA is filed under the name Pseudomonas peli. Its description in RNAcentral is "Pseudomon-groES RNA". It matches the Rfam family "Pseudomon-groES RNA". The record is from RNAcentral. Lineage: Bacteria; Pseudomonadati; Pseudomonadota; Gammaproteobacteria; Pseudomonadales; Pseudomonadaceae. RNAcentral also lists the same sequence under 1 other name.
GUAGCGGUCACCGCAAGGUUUUCUGUCGUCAGACAGAUUCAGACUUCAGCGCUGCGCCUGGCGUAGCGCUACCGGCCUCGCCGGACUUUGCUAACCCGCCGGUGAUUGCACCGGC